AUGUAGCAUCAUCAGAUCAUGCGUCCAAAGCUGACAGAAAUGGGCUUUCUGAUGAGGCUGUGCAGAAACUUUUGAAUCAAGUCGAGUAUUAUUUCAGUGAUUUAAAUUUGGCAACUACUGAUCAUUUGAUGAGGUUUAUACAGAAGGAUGCUGAGGGAUAUGUGCCAAUAUCUGUGGUUGCUUCCUUUAAGAAGAUCAAAGCUGCCAUAAAUAGUAAUUCUCA
This 223-nucleotide unclassified non-coding RNA is filed under the name Hevea brasiliensis (rubber tree). The record is from RNAcentral. Lineage: Eukaryota; Viridiplantae; Streptophyta; Magnoliopsida; Malpighiales; Euphorbiaceae.